Long non-coding RNA from Rhipicephalus microplus (southern cattle tick), 313 nucleotides. The record is from RefSeq and is a predicted model, not a curated record. Lineage: Eukaryota; Metazoa; Arthropoda; Arachnida; Ixodida; Ixodidae.
GAAAACUUGACAUCUUCAUCUAGGAAAGCGACCAAUUUUACCCUGCUUUUCUCAACUGCCUUAAGAAGCUUAUUCAAGGAAUGGAGACGACGUCUAUAACCAUGGCUACAGGCUACCAGGUCAAAAUCAGCACUAUUAUCGACGAAACGCAGAAAUGCCAUCCGAUGAACAUGCCAAAGGACGAAGCCUACCUGCUCGGAAUGUUGGCAUGGUUCGGCGACUUCGUAAAAGCAUGAAGCACGAUGCACACCUCCACGACACUUCGAAAACAAGAAUCAAGCAAACACGGACUGAUUAUCUUGUACUUGACCUA